Octopus sinensis (East Asian common octopus) is the source of this 622-nucleotide long non-coding RNA. RefSeq lists it as uncharacterized. The record is from RefSeq and is a predicted model, not a curated record. The transcript is spliced from 2 exons. NCBI's taxonomy places the organism in Eukaryota, Metazoa, Mollusca, Cephalopoda, Octopoda, Octopodidae.
UUGACUAAACAACAAUUGACCAGGCUCGACUUUGGUGAGAAGGUAAGAUGGCGCCUACGGGACACUGCUGACCAGUUCACAGGUCUCAGUCCCUUUUAAACCAAGGUAACCGAGACCACCAUAUCUUGUUUUGUUUUAAAAACAAUUAUUUAUAAAAUGUUUGCAUUCAAGUCUAAACUUUCCAUUACAAAUAUUAAUAACCUUCGUUAAUAAUUAUUUGAUUGGUACUGAUGAUUCUGAGAAGAAAGGCUUACGGUCGAAUACUAAUUAGUCAAGCCAAUAGGUAGGGAGGUCUUCAUAUCAGUGUGUGGGGCUAGUGUGCUGGAAAACCACCAAGGAGGAAGGCUCCAAAACAGAGCACGUUCGCUCAUGACAACCCCUAAAACCUUUUGGCAUUGGUAUGUGGAGGAGCAUUCAACUGACAGUAUUUGUCCAAGCAAACUGUUUCCGCAAGCCUUUAAUCUCUUCUAAAAAGCAGAUUAACUGAUAACUUUUGGAUAUAGUGUUUCUUAAACCUAACAUUGGUCACUAGACAGAAAAAAAAAAAAAAGACAAGAUAGAUGGAUGGAUGGAAGGAAGGAUGGAUAUUGUAUAAAAUUCAGGGUCCAGAAAGGGUUUACAA